Molecule: antisense RNA, 75 nt
Filed under: Kitasatospora viridis
Lineage: Bacteria; Bacillati; Actinomycetota; Actinomycetes; Kitasatosporales; Streptomycetaceae
Description: ASpks TB sRNA
Rfam family: ASpks TB sRNA
Source: Rfam by way of RNAcentral
CUUGAUCGAGCCCAGCCACAACGGCCGCUCGGCCGGGCGGUCCUGACCGUACGUCGCGAGCAGCGCCUGCGCCUC